Saimiri boliviensis boliviensis (Bolivian squirrel monkey) is the source of this 2609-nucleotide long non-coding RNA. The record is from Ensembl. NCBI's taxonomy places the organism in Eukaryota, Metazoa, Chordata, Mammalia, Primates, Cebidae.
UUCAGCUGAGUGGUGUCACUGAGCCAACACAAAGUGGGGCUCAUCCAGGGAUGAGAUUUUGCCAGAGAAAGGACGAGCAGCAAGUCAGGGAGCUUAAGGCAAUUAUUAGAAAGUGACUGUCUAAAAUUGCAUAGGUGGAAAGAGACAGAUUGGAUUUUUGUGUUUGGUAUUUGGGGGAAGAGGUGUGUGGGUAUGUACGUGAGAUGUGUUGUUCAUUCUCCUGAGAGAGAAAAUGGGGGGAUUAAAUGGACUGCAGUCCUGGACAAGGUGGAAAACUCUUAAAGUGGAAGUACUGGGGCAAGUGCUCCGACAGGCCGGGAUGGUGUAGUCAGUCCCUUCACCUGGAAAUCAGUAGAAUGUUAGCAGUCCAGACUCAAACUUUGUAAAAAACAGGUAGAGAAAAGGAAGUCCCUCACAGUAACCGGCACCAUAAUCAAGACAGAAUGUUUUCAGAAUAAAUUGAGUUAUCUGCUUUCAGCCCCAGGUGGUAGCUGUUCUCUGCCCUGAUGAUAUGUGAUAAUAAUUUGUGAUCCUCAUGUCUUAAAAUGGAGUCACUUAUCUCCAGUAGAAUUAAGUCUACAGUGAGGGGUUGUCCCCUCAUCCCCAAAGAGAUGAACACAUGAAUGGGCUGAGGUGAUAACAAUUAUUGCUGCCUGAGAUCAUGAGAGACCUGAAGUGAACUGAUAGGAAGUGAAAGGUGGCUGAGAACCAGAGAAUGGACCCAUCUGCAGAGGAUCAUAAAACCAGCAGAGACAAGAUCUUGUCUAAGAUGUGUUCAGAAGCUUUGUCCAUGAGAACUGCAAGGACUUAUUCACACCUGGUGGCUGCUGCUAUGAUCUCUGCCCCAAAGGAACAUCUGACCAGCAUCCAAAGGGCUUCUGGACCCACUGGAUUCCUCUGGAGGAGGCAAAGGAGGACCAAUGACUGGAAUAGCAAAGAACUCCAGGAUUCAUGAUGAACUAAUUGCUAGAGCAAAAAUAUACAAGAUCUCUCUAACUUAUAAUGGGGAAGGGGUAACAGAAGUUGGAUGAGACAAUACCCAAACGUGAUUUCCAGGUUUACUGAACCCAAACUGAACAAUGGAAGACUGUAGAUGACACCAUUAAGAUUUCUCAAGAAUAUGGAAGAUUAUUAUUCACUUCUGAUGGGACCUUGUAAGUCACCUGAAAAAAAUUCACAUGAAAAACAACUUUUACAAAAUGUCAAGUUAUGCUACAACAUUCACAUAAUAUAGAGUACAACCCUGAUCUCUUGGCUGUCAUAAAAUGUUUCUUACCUCUAAACCGAAGUUUCAUUUUAUAAUUUAAUUUUUUUUAUUUUUCCCGUCCUCUUAGCUUAAGAAAAGAUCAUUGCAGGCCGAGUGCGGUGGCUCACGCCUGUAAUCCCAGAAUUUUGUGAGGCUGAGGCAGGUAGAUCACCUGAGGUCAGGAGUUCGAGACCAGCCUGACCAACAUGGUGGAACCCUGUCUCUACUAAAAAUACCAGAACUAGCUGGGUGUGGUGGCAGAUGCCUGUAAUCCCAGCUACUGGGGAGGUUGAGGCAGGAGAAUCGCUUGAACCCAGGAGGUGGAGGUUGCAGUGAGCCAAGAUGGUGUACUCCAGCAUGGGUGAUAGAGUGAAACUCCAUCUAAAAACAAACAAACAAACAAACAAACAAAAAAAACCAACAACAACAACAAAAAAGAUCAUUGCAAACUUUUUGUGUGUUUUUCAUAUAUGCUUGCAGAGGGUUGUAAAAUUUUAUUGCAAUUAUUCGUGCUUUAAGCUGAAACUUUUCUAAUCUUUCUUUAGCAAUUGUGGAAUAGCAUGCUAUUUCCUUUCCAUAUUCAAUUGUUUCUUCUGUAUUUAUUACCCUAGCUAUAGGAUUCUGUCUUUUGAACCUCUCCUGCAGUUAGGUGUGGCCAUGUCACUAAAUUUUAAGCAAAUAAUUUGUAAGCAGUGUGCUAGGAGUACCUUCUAAAAAACCUUCUUCUUUUCUCCCUCAUUUUCAUUACAGUAGUCUGGAGUGAAGAUCCAAUAGCUGGAGGUCAGUAGUCAUCCUAUGUAAUGCAGGCAGGGGUGAUGGGCAGCACGGUCUUUUAAAUCCCUUACUGGAAGACAAAUUUCACAAGACCAAGAACCUUACGUUAGUCCAAGCAAUAUCCCAGCACUUACACACAGUGUGCAGCAUGUUUGCCGAGGGCUUAGGUAUUAAAUGGGUAUUGAAUGAAUAGAUGUAUUAAUUGGUUUACUCUGGAGUCAUAAGUAAACAAGGUCUGAGUUCAUUUCACAGAAUCAAACUCCCGAUUAAUUCAAAUCACACUGAUUUAAUUUGUUUCUCUUUGCUCUCUCAGACUUGCCAAUGUCAUGGGCGGAUAGGAGUUUUUCUUAAUUUACUUCAAUAUUGCAUUAAAUCAAAAUGUUUUAAAAUCUGUUUUUAUAACAGUGCUUCCCAGUAACUUCCUGUUUAGAAAGUUCAAAAUUCUUCCAUUUUUAAAGUCAUGGAUAUCUUUUUUAUUGUGUCUGUUGUUAAGUGCAGGAACUGUUUUGUAAUUUUAAAUAGACGUCAUCUCAAGUCUACAAGAAUUAUCCAAAGUGGGAUCUAAAGACCUUUCUAGGUUUUCAGACAC